GCAAUUCUUUUUUAGACCACGAGUGCCGUGUGCUGAUCAUCCACCUUCUCCUUCCCAAAUCGAUAAUAAUAUUAAUAUUCAAGAAUCUAAUAAUGAGAAUGAAUACGAAGAAGUUGUCGAUGCCGUCGACGAUGAAGUUGCCAAUGCAUUGCAUGAACUCCACAUGGAAAACUAUGAUGACGAAGACGAGGGAGAUUGUUUAUUAAGUUCGAGUUUUGGAAAUAUUUAUAAUCCAACAUCAAAACGAUUCUGAUGUACUUCAAGACCUGGUCAUUUAUCCAACUGAUUGUGUCAUUGUUACCGCGCGUACUGUAAAUCAUGAAUACGGUCUUCUCGAGGUAACUAAACUGUUACUUGUAACAGUCAAGUGGCUUCUUCUUCCAUGCAUGCUGUUACUAAAUAGGACAUGCUUGAAUUGAUUUAUUUCUAACGACUUUAAGAGUAAUGGAAACAACACAUCACAUCUCCUCAGUUUUAUUUUCCUAAGCUCUCUACCAUAGUUUAUAAUUAUAUGAAACCAUUUGCUUUAUUUUAAGUUUUGGUAUAAAAAUAACAUACAUAUUUAUUUAUAUGAUUAAAUAAGUUGAGUCUUUAUAAAUGUUGUUUUUAGUCGUUAUGCAAAAUUUCGUCAACAUUUAAUCUCUUAAUACUGUAGAACAUGUUUAACGACUUUCUUACGAAAAUUUUAUAAUGUUUCUACAAAAUAUCAUUCAAAAUUUUGAAUAAUAUACAAGAGUUGAUUUAAAAUUAGGGACAAAAAUUAGGGACAAUGACUGAACAUAAAUAAUUAAAAGUUGAUUAAAUUUUUAUAAAAAUAGUGAAUUUUUAUAGAUACUGAAAAUUUAUUUAACCCUCAUUUAUAUGAUAUGAUAAGCACUUAUGUUACCAAAACUUGGUUGGCUCAAGUGGAAAGGGAUUUAAACAUCUUAACCAAAUGGUCAAAGGUUCGAUGUCUCUAGCUUUUGCGUACAGAGAAAAUCUGGUUGGGAGGUGAGUCUUGAAGAUGAUAUUGUUCAGUGUUUUGAUGUUCGGACUGCAAGCUCUGAUUCCACAUCUGAGCUCAAUCCUACUUUCACCCUUCAUGCACAUGAUGAAGCUGCUACAUCAGUAUCCUACAAUCUGUCGGCACCUAAUCUUCUUGCUACCGGAUCCUCGGACAAAACGGUAAAGCUUUGGGAUCUGUUCAACAACCAACCAACUUGUGUAGCAUCUAAAAAUCCUGGAGUAGGGGAUAUAUUUUUUAUUUCUUUCUCUAAGGACAACCCCUUCAUCUUGGCUAUAGGAGGCGAAAUAGGAAAAUUGCAAGUGAAGACAGUCAACGAACUUUUACUUUUUUAUUCUUGAUAGUUUCUCCAUAAAAUUCACUUUUGCAACUAAUUAUUAUUUUAUAGAUAUGGAACACCUUAUCUGAUUCUGCCAUCUAUGGGACCUAAUAGAAGUAAUGGAGCUACUCUUUUUAGUUUUUGUUUUUGUCUUAUUUUUCUUUUUCUAGACAUAUAUAUGUUCUUUCACGUGGAUUUAUUAAAUAGUUUUUAUUUUGAAAUGGACAGACUAGUUUUUACA
Long non-coding RNA from Cicer arietinum (chickpea), 1563 nucleotides. RefSeq lists it as uncharacterized. The record is from RefSeq and is a predicted model, not a curated record. NCBI's taxonomy places the organism in Eukaryota, Viridiplantae, Streptophyta, Magnoliopsida, Fabales, Fabaceae.